This 466-nucleotide ribosomal RNA is filed under the name uncultured bacterium. RNAcentral's name for it is "bacterial SSU rRNA". It matches the Rfam family "Bacterial small subunit ribosomal RNA", at positions 330 to 792 of the family's 1533-position model. The record is from RNAcentral.
UCCAGACUCCUACGGGAGGCAGCAGUGAGGAAUAUUGGUCAAUGGGCUUACGCCUGAACCAGCCAAGUCGCGUGAGGGAAGACUGCCCUAUGGGUUGUAAACCUCUUUUGUCAGGGAGCAAUUGGCGCUACGUGUAGCGUUAUCGAGAGUACCUGAAGAAAAAGCAUCGGCUAACUACGUGCCAGCAGCCGCGGUAAUACGUAGGGGGCAAGCGUUAUCCGGAUUUACUGGGUGUAAAGGGAGCGUAGACGGCGAUGCAAGUCUGAAGUGAAAGCCCGGGGCUCAACCCCGGGACUGCUUUGGAAACUGUAUGGCUGGAGUACUGGAGAGGCAAGCGGAAUUCCUAGUGUAGCGGUGAAAUGCGUAGAUAUUAGGAAGAACACCAGUGGCGAAGGCGGCUUGCUGGACAGUAACUGACGUUGAGGCUCGAAAGCGUGGGGAGCAAACAGGAUUAGAUACCCUUGUA